Molecule: ribosomal RNA, 1893 nt
Filed under: human gut metagenome
Description: bacterial LSU rRNA
Rfam family: Bacterial large subunit ribosomal RNA
Source: RNAcentral
UCAAGCUAAUAAGGGCGCAAGGGGGAUGCCUUGGCAUUGGUAGCCGAUGAAGGACGUAGCGAUCUACGAUAAGCCACGGGAAGUCGAAAGCAGGCAAUGAUCCGUGGAUUUCCGAAUGGGGAAACCCGGCAGAGCAAUACUCUGUCAACUCCUUGUGAAUAAAAUAGCAUUGAGUAGGGAACCUCCUGAACUGAAACAUCUAAGUAGGGAGAGGAAAAGAAAUCAACCGAGAUUCCGCUAGUAGUGGCGAGCGAACGCGGAAGAGGCCAAACCAAGAGUAGUAAUACUUUUGGGGUUCGGACUGAGUACGGUAUUGACAAAGGUUAGUAGAAUGAAAUGGGAAGUUCAACCAUAGAGCGUGAGAGUCGCGUAUACGAAAACUUGAGUCAGCCAUCAGUAUCCAGAGUACCGCCGGACACGUGAAACCCGGUGGGAAUACGGGGGGACCACCCUCCAAGCCUAAAUACUCACCAAUGACCGAUAGUGUAUAGUACUGUGAAGGAAAGGUGAAAAGAACCCCUGGCGGGGAGUGAAAAAGAACCUGAAACCUUGUGCCUACAAGCACAUAGAGCACAUCAACGUGUGAUAUGGUACCUUUUGUAGAAUGGUCCGGCGAGUGAAUGUCACUAGCGAGGUUAAGGACUUAAGGUCUGCAGCCGAAGCGAAAGCGAGUCUUAAUAGGGCGCUAAUAGUUAGUGGUAUUCGACCCGAAACCGAGUGACCUAGCCAUGAGCAGGCUGAAGUGGAGGUAAAACUCCAUGGAGGGCCGAACCCACUCCCGUUGAAAUGGUAGGGGAUGACUUGUGGCUAGCGGAGAAAUUCCAAUCGAACUCGGAGAUAGCUGGUUCUCUCCGAAAUAGCUUUAGGGCUAGCCUCAAAUAACAUUACCGCAGGUAAAGCACUGAAUGGGCUAGGGGGCGAAAGCUUACUGAACCCUAUCAAACUAAGAAUGGCGGAUAAUGAAUAUUUGGGAGUCACACUACGUGAGAUAAGUUUCGUGGUGGAAAGGGAAACAGCCCAGACCCACAGCUAAGGUCCCAAAGUACAGUUAAGUGGAAAAGGAUGUGAAGUUGCGCAGACAACCAGGAUGUUGGCUCAGAAGCAGCCACUCAUUCAAAGAGUGCGUAAUAGCUCACUGGUCGAGUGAUUUUGCGCCGAAAAUUUAACGGGGCUAAACUGUACACCGAAGCUUGGGAAUAUACCUCUGGUAUGUUGGUAGGAGAGCGUCGUAUGCGGGGUGAAGUCGUAGCGAAAGCGGCGGUGGACUGCAUAGGAGUGAGAAUGCCGGAAUGAGUAGCGAGAAUUAUGUGAGAAUCAUAAUGGCCGAAAGACUAAGGUUUUAGAAGGAAGGUUCGUCCGCUUCUAGUUAGCCGGGAGCUAAGGCGAGGCCGAAAGGCGUAGUCGAUGCACAUACGGUUGAGAUUCCGUAGCCACCUUAAAUUUAAACUAAGGGACACAUUGAAAGGGAAUAACCCAGGCGUUGGUUGACCUGGGCGUAAGGGAACGAAAAUAAGUAGUGAAGUAUUCUUGGACAGUGGCGAGAAAAGCUUAGUGUAUAUUAUUAGGGUGCCCGUACUGCAAACCGACACAGGUAGUCAGGAAGAGAAUUCUAAGGCCAUCGGGAGAAGCGUUGUUAAGGAACUCGGCAAAUUGACCCCGUAACUUCGGAAUAAGGGGUGCUCACGCGAGUGAGCCGCAGUGAAUAGGUCCAGGCAACUGUUUAUCAAAAACACAGCUCUCUGCUAAAUCGUAAGAUGACGUAUAGGGGGUGACACCUGCCCGGUGCUGGAAGGUUAAGAGGAGGAGUGCAAGCCCCGAAUCGAAGCCCCAGUAAACGGCGGCCGUAACUAUAACGGUCCUAAGGUAGCGAAAUUCCUUGUCGGGUAAGUUCCG